AUAAUGGGUCAGCGACUUAUAUUCUGUAGCAAGGUUAACCGAAUAGGGGAGCCGAAGGGAAACCGAGUCUUAACUGGGCGUUAAGUUGCAGGGUAUAGACCCGAAACCCGGUGAUCUAGCCAUGGGCAGGUUGAAGGUUGGGUAACACUAACUGGAGGACCGAACCGACUAAUGUUGAAAAAUUAGCGGAUGACUUGUGGCUGGGGGUGAAAGGCCAAUCAAACCGGGAGAUAGCUGGUUCUCCCCGAAAGCUAUUUAGGUAGCGCCUCGUGAAUUCAUCUCCGGGGGUAGAGCACUGUUUCGGCAAGGGGGUCAUCCCGACUUACCAACCCGAUGCAAACUGCGAAUACCGGAGAAUGUUAUCACGGGAGACACACGGCGGGUGCUAACGUCCGUCGUGAAGAGGGAAACAACCCAGACCGCCAGCUAAGGUCCCAAAGUCAUGGUUAAGUGGGAAACGAUGUGGGAAGGCCCAGACAGCCAGGAUGUUGGCUUAGAAGCAGCCAUCAUUUAAAGAAAGCGUAAUAGCUCACUGGUCGAGUCGGCCUGCGCGGAAGAUGUAACGGGGCUAAACCAUGCACCGAAGCUGCGGCAGCGACACUAUGUGUUGUUGGGUAGGGGAGCGUUCUGUAAGCCUGUGAAGGUGUACUGUGAGGUAUGCUGGAGGUAUCAGAAGUGCGAAUGCUGACAUAAGUAACGAUAAAGCGGGUGAAAAGCCCGCUCGCCGGAAGACCAAGGGUUCCUGUCCAACGUUAAUCGGGGCAGGGUGAGUCGACCCCUAAGGCGAGGCCGAAAGGCGUAGUCGAUGGGAAACAGGUUAAUAUUCCUGUACUUGGUGUUACUGCGAAGGGGGGACGGAGAAGGCUAUGUUGGCCGGGCGACGGUUGUCCCGGUUUAAGCGUGUAGGCUGGUUUUCCAGGCAAAUCCGGAAAAUCAAGGCUGAGGCGUGAUGACGAGGCACUACGGUGCUGAAGCAACAAAUGCCCUGCUUCCAGGAAAAGCCUCUAAGCAUCAGGUAACAUCAAAUCGUACCCCAAACCGACACAGGUGGUCAGGUAGAGAAUACCAAGGCGCUUGAGAGAACUCGGGUGAAGGAACUAGGCAAAAUGGUGCCGUAACUUCGGGAGAAGGCACGCUGAUAUGUAGGUGAAGUCCCUCGCGGAUGGAGCUGAAAUCAGUCGAAGAUACCAGCUGGCUGCAACUGUUUAUUAAAAACACAGCACUGUGCAAACACGAAAGUGGACGUAUACGGUGUGACGCCUGCCCGGUGCCGGAAGGUUAAUUGAUGGGGUCAGCGCAAGCGAAGCUCUUGAUCGAAG
RNAcentral lists this ribosomal RNA (1319 nucleotides) under Escherichia coli. RNAcentral's name for it is "partial 23S ribosomal RNA". It matches the Rfam family "Bacterial large subunit ribosomal RNA", at positions 612 to 1917 of the family's 2925-position model. The record is from RNAcentral. Lineage: Bacteria; Pseudomonadati; Pseudomonadota; Gammaproteobacteria; Enterobacterales; Enterobacteriaceae.